Molecule: long non-coding RNA, 455 nt
Organism: Cuculus canorus (common cuckoo)
Lineage: Eukaryota; Metazoa; Chordata; Aves; Cuculiformes; Cuculidae
Exons: 3
Source: RefSeq, a predicted model, not a curated record
CUGUAAUAUUGUUUCUAAUGUUUUUCGAGGUGGGGCUGUGCUGAGCUGCUGAGUUUUUACCUUCAUGAUCUGUCGUGCUAGAGUGUGCUACUAGUUAAUUUGCACGCACGGGUAAAAGGUGCGCGUUUGAAGUGUCGGAUUCCCGUUCCUGAUGCUCCUGGAGCUCCAGCUCGUCCGAGAGCCGACACCGAGCAGAGGUUGCUACUGCAGUAGCCCCACCUGCUGUUGGAUGGGAAAGAAGCGUCUUGGUCCUUUAAUGCAGUCUGAUUAUGUGAUAGAAAGUUUGAUUCAAGGCCAGGUUGGACGGGGCCUUGGGCAGCCCGAUCAACUCACCACUUGGGAGGUGAGUUGAAAUUACUUGAUCUUUAAGGUCCCUUCCAACCCAAACCAUUCUGUGAUUCUAUAAUUUCAGGAGCUUUCUGUGAAUCUGAUCAAGAAAAAGUUACAAAGGGUUA